UUAAGUUCAGCGGGUAUCCCUACCUGAUCCGAGGUCAACCUGUAAAGUUAGGGGUUGGUGGCAAGCACACACCUAAACUCCAUAGCGAAAAGUUUUACUACGCUAGAAGCCAAGUGGCAUCGCCACUGAUUUUAAGAUGCACCAAUUAAAAUGGUGACAUCCAAUACCAAGCAGAGCUUGAGGGUUGUAAUGACGCUCGA
Molecule: unclassified non-coding RNA, 200 nt
Filed under: Coniochaetaceae sp.
Lineage: Eukaryota; Fungi; Ascomycota; Sordariomycetes; Coniochaetales; Coniochaetaceae
Description: partial internal transcribed spacer 2
Source: RNAcentral